GUGCAGCAGUCGCGAAACUUUACAAUGUGCGAAAGCACGAUAAGGGAACUCUGAGUGCCUCCUAAGGAGGCUGUUCUGAUGUCUAAAAGCAACAGAAGUAAGGGCUGGGUAAGACCGGUGCCAGCCGCCGCGGUAACACCGGCAGCCCAAGUGGUAGCCACGUUUAUUGGGUCUAAAGCGUUCGUAGCCGGCCAGGUAAGUUCCUUGGUAAAUUUAGCCGCUUAACGGUUAAGCUUUCAGGGAAUACUGCUUGGCUUGGGACUGGGAGAGGUCAGAGGUACUCCGGGGGUAGGGGUGAAAUCUAUUAAUCCCUGGGGGACCACCGGUAGCGAAGGCGCCUGACCAGACCAGGUCCGACGGUGAGGGACGAAGGCUAGGGGCGCGAACCGGAUUAGAUACCCCUGUAGU
RNAcentral lists this ribosomal RNA (408 nucleotides) under uncultured microorganism. Its description in RNAcentral is "bacterial SSU rRNA". It matches the Rfam family "Archaeal small subunit ribosomal RNA", at positions 330 to 745 of the family's 1478-position model. The record is from RNAcentral.